AGUCGAACGAUAGUUUCCAGCUUGCUUCUCAGGAAAGUGGCGCACGGGUGCGUAACGCGUAUGCAACCUACCUUAAUCAGGGGGAUAGCCCGAAGAAAUUCGGAUUAACACCGCAUAAAAUCACAGUAUAGCAUUAUACAAUGAUCAAAUAUUUAUAGGAUUAAGAUGGGCAUGCGUGACAUUAGUUAGUUGGCGGGGUAACGGCCCACCAAGACCACGAUGUCUAGGGGAUCUGAGAGGAUGACCCCCCACACUGGUACUGAGACACGGACCAGACUCCUACGGGAGGCAGCAGUAAGGAAUAUUGGUCAAUGGAGGCAACUCUGAACCAGCCAUGCCGCGUGCAGGAAGACAGCCCUCUGGGUCGUAAACUGCUUUUAUUCGGGAAUAAACCUAUCUACGUGUAGAUAGCUGAAUGUACCGAAGGAAUAAGGAUCGGCUAACUCCGUGCCAGCAGCCGCGGUAAUACGGAGGAUCCAAGCGUUAUCCGGAUUUAUUGGGUUUAAAGGGUGCGUAGGCGGCUUAUUAAGUCAGGGGUGAAAGACGGUGGCUCAACCAUCGCAGUGCCUUUGAUACUGAUGAGCUUGAAUAUACUAGAGGUAGGCGGAAUGUGACAAGUAGCGGUGAAAUGCAUAGAUAUGUCACAGAACACCGAUUGCGAAGGCAGCUUACUAUGGUAUUAUUGACGCUGAGG
RNAcentral lists this ribosomal RNA (694 nucleotides) under Pedobacter sp. mf20-1. Its description in RNAcentral is "bacterial SSU rRNA". It matches the Rfam family "Bacterial small subunit ribosomal RNA", at positions 60 to 751 of the family's 1533-position model. Lineage: Bacteria; Pseudomonadati; Bacteroidota; Sphingobacteriia; Sphingobacteriales; Sphingobacteriaceae. The record is from RNAcentral.